Molecule: ribosomal RNA, 514 nt
Filed under: uncultured bacterium
Lineage: Bacteria
Description: bacterial SSU rRNA
Rfam family: Bacterial small subunit ribosomal RNA
Source: RNAcentral
CAACGAAUCUUCCCCAAUGGGCGAAAGCCUGAGGGAGCGACGCCGCGUGAAGGACGAAGUUCUUCGGAAUGUAAACUUAUGUAAGGAUCGAGAAAGUUUAGCGCCUAACAUGCGCAAAAAUUGAUCUGGUCCCUAAAAGGGGCGGCUAACUCUGUGCCAGCAGCCGCGGUAAUACAGAGGCCCCAAGCGUUACUGAGAAUCACUGGGUUUAAAGGGUGCGUAGGUGGUCCGUUAAGUCCGUUGUGAAAUCCCUGGGCUCAACCCAGGAAAUGCUUCGGAUACUGGCGGACUUGAGGCUAGUAUGGGUCACUGGAACUGACGGUGGAGCGGUGAAAUGCGUAGAUAUCGUCAGGAACGCCAAUGGUGAAGACAGGUGACUGGGCUAGUUCUGACACUGAGGCACGAAAGCGUGGGGAGCGAACGGGAUUAGAUACCCCGGUAGUCCACGCCCUAAACGAUGCAGACUAGACUGCAGCGGGUUACACCCCGUUGCGGUCGGAGCGAAAUUGUUAAG